Long non-coding RNA from Papaver somniferum (opium poppy), 1724 nucleotides. RefSeq lists it as uncharacterized. The transcript is spliced from 2 exons. Lineage: Eukaryota; Viridiplantae; Streptophyta; Magnoliopsida; Ranunculales; Papaveraceae. The record is from RefSeq and is a predicted model, not a curated record.
CCCCUGGACAGAAAAAUUUAAGUAACUUGGUUGAAUUUAUGGGUAAAUGGUCUUGGUGGAGAUGAGAGUACGUGAAGUUGUUGAUGUUGGCAUGUUAAAGUGCAGUAAUGGGCAUUUCUCCUCCCAGUUUCCAGUUGGAAAUUGUUUUUGAAGCUAUUGUUUCUUUUACUCAACUGAGCAAAGUGAUUUCUAUCAAUUUGGGGGUUUGUAUGUGAUACUAGAUGCAUGUCUGAUUUGGUAUUAAUAUAGAUCCUUCCAUGAAUUGAAAUUCUUGAAAAAUAGAAAAUUAGGGUUCAUAACAAUUUGAGUUUUUGUUUUCCAAAUCGGUUGACAAAUGUAUAAUUCAUGUUAAAACGUUAAAUGGGAUGUUGAAUCUUGUUAAAAUUGGGUAUUCAUAUAGAUUCAAUUUUAGGGAACUUGAUGUGUUUCGGUUGGUUUACAAAGUAUUGAUAAUGACUUGAGAAUGGGUUUGAUCAAUUCGCCUGGCAUGUGUAAAUUGAAGCAUGAUACUAGAUUUUCUGAUUUUGGGAACUUUUUCUCCAAGUUCCAGAUAGCAAUUGGGGUUUGGUUCCAUGAAAUUUCAGGAAGUGUUUAACAGUUUUAGAUUAGUGGUUCACCGAGAAAGCAGUGAGGGUUAAAUGACUAGAGAAAUUUAGAUCAUAAAUUAGAUAAUAUAUACAUUUUCAGACUAAAAUGUCUAUAUAAAUUUAUAGCUACUGUUUAGCAAUUAAACUUUGAUUUCUAUUUUUGUUUGAUUCAAAAUGAAUUAUGUUAUGAAUUCGGUAGUCCUACAUGUUCCUUGAUCAUAGUAAAUUUCUAAUGUGGUGUUGGUCCGAACGGUCAUGUAUAUAGUGAUUUUUUUAGAAUUGGUAAAUGUAGUAUUGAACAUUUAAGUGUAUUCCGUGUAUGACAAGAUAUAUACAUAUAGCCUUGUCGCGGUGACUAUCGCGGUUAACCUCAUUUAGUGAAGACGGAUACAUCUAAGAAUUAUAUAUAGUAGUUAAUCAUCUGUUAGAUAAUGUACUGAAUGUUAGUGCAAGUAUGUUUUCCAUCAUUUGCAUUAAGGAAUGCACAUAUGUGUUUUAAUAUUACUGCUACCAUUUCUGAGCUAUUAGUUCAUUUUUGUUAAGGCUUAAUAUAUGUUGAAGUACAGGAAACGUAAAUAGCUAUGGAUGUUAUGGAUUUUCCAACAUUAAUUUGUGGAUGUCUAGGACUUUGGGUAGUCUACUAAUUUGAAAUUGCAGACAAGGAGAGUUAUAAAUGGAGCAAGACGCCCAUAAUCUGUUUGUAAAAAGGGCCCCAAAAGAAAAAAAGGGAGAGCCAACGACGGUUGCGGUGAUGAUGUAGGUUUCCCUACGUCAAGUCCAGUGGUGUGGGGUCUUAGAAAAUAAUCGGUUCUUACUACAAUUGGUAGUCGAAGUAGGCUACGAAACCAUCAAUUUCUUUUCUAUAAAAAGAUCAAACAUUGCCUACAGUCCCCAAGUAUCUUGAGAAGCUACACCAUGGUCAGAUUCAUAGCUACACCAUGGUCAAAUUCAUGUCAUUUUGGUAUAUUUUCCGGAACUUUACUAUUGAGUGUGAUGUAUCCAUUGUAUUUAAUCUGCCAUGUUUUGACAGAAUUUAGUUUGCUCGGUUUUGAUACCUCAAAGUUUUGUAAUAAAUCCUUACUUAUCUACUUGAUAGAUUGUGGACUUGAUAUCAUGUAUACUGGGUGUUUAACUCUC